This 468-nucleotide ribosomal RNA is filed under the name uncultured bacterium. RNAcentral describes it as "partial 16S ribosomal RNA". It matches the Rfam family "Bacterial small subunit ribosomal RNA", at positions 28 to 507 of the family's 1533-position model. The record is from RNAcentral.
GAUGAACGCUGGCGGCGUGCUUAACACAUGCCAGUCGAACGGUGAAGGCGGAGCUUGCUCUGCUGGAUCAGUGGCGAACGGGUGAGUAACACGUGAGCAAUCUGCCCCUGACUCUGGGAUAAGCGCUGGAAACGGCGUCUAAUACUGGAUACGAGCUGCGAAGGCAUCUUCAGCAGCUGGGAAGAAUUUCGGUCAGGGAUGAGCUCGCGGCCUAUCAGCUUGUUGGUGAGGUAAUGGCUCACCAAGGCGUCGACGGGUAGCCGGCCUGAGAGGGUGACCGGCCACACUGGGACUGAGACACGGCCCAGACUCCUACGGGAGGCAGCAGUGGGGAAUAUUGCACAAUGGGCGAAAGCCUGAUGCAGCAACGCCGCGUGAGGGACGACGGCCUUCGGGUUGUAAACCUCUUUUAGCAGGGAAGAAGCGAAAGUGACGGUACCUGCAGAAAAAGCGCCGGCUAACUACGUG